UAAUACGUAGGGGGCAAGCGUUAUCCGGAAUUAUUGGGCGUAAAGGGUGCGUAGGCGGCUUUUUAAGCGCGGGGUGAAAGGCAAUGGCUCAACCAUUGUCAGCCUUGCGAACUGAGAGGCUUGAGUGCAGGAGAGGAAAGUGGAAUUCCUAGUGUAGCGGUGAAAUGCGUAGAUAUUAGGAGGAACACCAGUGGCGAAGGCGACUUUCUGGACUGUAACUGACGCUGAGGCACGAAAGUGUGGGGAGCAAACAGG
Molecule: ribosomal RNA, 255 nt
Filed under: uncultured bacterium
Lineage: Bacteria
Description: partial 16S ribosomal RNA
Rfam family: Bacterial small subunit ribosomal RNA
Source: RNAcentral